Albula glossodonta (roundjaw bonefish) is the source of this 72-nucleotide non-coding RNA. NCBI's taxonomy places the organism in Eukaryota, Metazoa, Chordata, Actinopteri, Albuliformes, Albulidae. The record is from the annotation of a GenBank genome assembly.
CUGAAUCUGGUCCAGUGGUUAGAACCCAGAACCUUCACUUCUACGGAGCGGGUUCGAUUCCCUCUCCUUACA